CACAGUCGAGUUUUUCACGUCGAACUGUGCAGCACAUCCUCGAAAUAAAUGGACACAUUAAAUGCAAAUUAAAUAAGAAUAAUUUGAAAUCCGUGAAGUUGACCAAAGAACGCAGAUUUCCCACAUCUCGUUCAAAGUUUAGUGUUAUAAGCUGUUUUCAAGAGUUCCGAACUCAUAGUUAAAUGACACUCAAACGCAAGAGGCACAAAAACUAAUCGUUUGACGGUGCCUAAAUCCAAAGUUAUUGCCUUAAAUACGAGCGGAAAAUCGUGUUGCGAAACCAAGUGCAAUGACUGUCCUCAAUAUGCACGCCAAAAUGAUAAUAUUGAUUUUAUUUUUCUACAACGGUUCCUACAACUGGAGUAAAAAGCUUUAAGAGGCUCCUGGCGCACCUACAUAUUUCCCCUUCGGCAGGCGGCGUUUGAUUUCAUGUGUGUGCCGUCCUGCGAACCUCAAUUAUAAUAAGUGUUCCCGUCCCAAACAAUAACAUCCGAUUUGUUUACCUGCGAAGCGCUGGAGCAAAACAAAAAUCGCGUUCAAGUUUGGCUCCCUUAUCUCAUUUUUGUGGAAUUUUUCAAGCUUUUUUGCGUCAUAAACUGAAAUAUUUUCGAGUUCGCUCCAACCGCAGUCGACGUCGGCAGAGCCUCGACUGCGCGGUACGCCGAGAAACGCAGAGAGAGGCCGAGAUCGUUUAUAUAGCGGCGUACUCGCCAGCGAUUUUCAUCAGUCGCAACGCGUCUCUCGUUCUCAGCGGAGCUCAGGCCUUCGGAAAGCAGCGGAAAAGCCCAGUGGAAAAUCGGAAAAGUUCGAAAAUAGCGCAGUGCAAGUGUGCAUCUAGUAACGCUGGCCAGUGUCGACAAAAUCCACUUCGAUGUCGAUUAAUUCGCCAAUAUCGUUGAAAAACUCGGACCUGCAUUGAACAGGCAAAAGCGACCAGCACUAAACUACAACACACAAAUUGUUUAAACAAAAAGAAACGAAAGCGAGUAAACAAGGACAAAGUCACGGCAAAAAGCGCAGACAACAAGUUGUUUGCUUUUAGUUCGCGUUCUCCUUAUUUUAUUUUCCGUUUUCCGUUCCGUUCGAUUUUCCACGCACGCGCGUCGUAGAAAAGCCAAAUUGAAAACACCAACAGUUGAAAGGCAACUGUUGCAUUCUACCAACCGAAUCGCAGCCCAUUUAAGCCACACUUUCCAUCGGUGGUAGCACACAAGCCGUCGAGCAUACAGAGAUUUGCGAGAGGAAAAGCGAACUAAACCCGAGAUCUUACCAGGAAAACGGAUUUCGUCACUAGGGCUUAGGCCAUUGUAUGGAUCAGUCUAAACCAACGACGAAAUUUGGAGACGAGCCGGACCUCCUGUUCAAGCGAGCGCAGGGCCGGAUUAGUCUGAUCAGUGCUGGAGCUGGAGCCGCCCAGGCUGGCCAAGCUGCCCACCAACCAUCACUGCAUUCAAGCCAACAACAGUUCGCCAACAUUCAACUAGACGCCACGCUCAAUGACUGCGAAAGUGGCUAUGUGCCCACCGUGGGCCGCUGGGGCUCCGAAUGGCCGAGUUGACUCGCCGUUGCCGCCAGUCACCGACGGGAUGGGGGAGCGGCCUCUCCGGAUGAGGAUGAGGAGGCCGCUGCC
Drosophila erecta is the source of this 1630-nucleotide long non-coding RNA. RefSeq lists it as uncharacterized. NCBI's taxonomy places the organism in Eukaryota, Metazoa, Arthropoda, Insecta, Diptera, Drosophilidae. The record is from RefSeq and is a predicted model, not a curated record. The transcript has 3 exons.